GCGAGCGUAGCUCAGCUGGUAGAGCACCGGAUUGUGAUUCCGGUGGUCGUGGGUUCAAGCCCCAUCGCUCGCC
Molecule: transfer RNA, 73 nt
Filed under: Deltaproteobacteria bacterium
Lineage: Bacteria; Pseudomonadati; Myxococcota; Myxococcia
Description: tRNA-His
Rfam family: tRNA
About the family: Transfer RNA (tRNA) molecules are approximately 80 nucleotides in length.
Source: RNAcentral